AUUUUUAAAAUUUAAUCCGUUAUUACUUUUUCCAACUCCGCUAGCUUUAUUGCUCCUUUUCCUUCUCUCAACCUUGAUCCAAUCACCAUGGAGAUAAUUUGGCUCCUCAUUAAUUUCCAAAUUAACGGUUUUUUCCGAGAUUUCAGCUAUUUCGUAUCCUUGAUUUCCGCCUUGCUGUUUACCGCUUUCUGCCACCGUCUCUCUCUCGUUAACAGGUUCUGGACAUGCGUAUUCCGCCGCUUCAGUAGCCGUCGUAGCUUCUGGUUUUUUCUUAAUGGAACAGUCCUUCAUAAUAUGACCAUAACAGCCACAGUGAGUGCAAAUAUUGUGCAAUCCCUCAUAUUGGACAUGAUACCACUCACCAUUGAUUCCCACUCUUCCCACAACAGGCU
RNAcentral lists this long non-coding RNA (392 nucleotides) under Medicago truncatula (barrel medic). RNAcentral's name for it is "long non-coding RNA (MTRU_LNC006290)". The record is from RNAcentral. Lineage: Eukaryota; Viridiplantae; Streptophyta; Magnoliopsida; Fabales; Fabaceae.